AUGAGUAAAGACAUUUUUUAAAGCAUUCGUACCUCUUAAAUGUACUUACUUGCCACAAAAAGGCAAUUUCAACAAGAAAUGUAAUACUACCGGAGAUGUUAAGAACAGCAAUCAACUCGAUACCUCUGUGGGUUCCAAAGGGAGAGGAGGGGGCCCUCCGGAGAAGUAGCCUGUCAGUCUAAAUCUGUGGUGUGCCUCGUCUUCUCUCUGACAGCUGGACGGGUGUCAGAGUCACACACUUUAAAUUACCAGAUUCACACUGAGCACACAGGUCCUACAGAUGCCAGAGACUGUGUUUGAACACAUGAUUUGUUCUGUUCCGGGAGACGGUGGCUGUCUUCACCUCUGACAUCGGGUGUGAUGCUGGUGCCUGAGCAGCGUGGCCAGUCUGCAAGGCACGAGAUCUGCAGUGAAUUCUAACCAGCUCGGGGGGCCACCUUCUUGCACGCAACCGUGUCUAAUCAGUGACACGACUCAUCCACCGGUUCAUGUCCGGUUGGCAGGGUUCUGUAUGCAAAUGCUCGGGGACAUCUGCACCGUCUUGGUCUGGACGUGAUGCUUGGUGGAAGAGACACAAAGCUAAGGGCACGCCGUUCAUCAGGAUGGUGUUACCUUACGACCACCAGGACCACGAACCUCAGAUUCCCUUCCCCAGCAGUGAGUGCGACUUCAUAAAAGGAACCUCCUCGGAACCAGUCUUUCUACCCCAUCUGCAAGGAGGACCUGGGGUCAUACAGAGAAGAAGAGGGCGACGUGGUGGAUCGGGAGCCCAAGAACUGGAGAAGAAAGAACCGAGGCGAUUUCCCAGCAACCGGUGGCAAAGUGCUCUCGGGUUUCUGUCUGGUAACCCUGAAAUCGGAUGCCCGGCCCAGUCAGCUUCUCGAAAUUCCAUCCCAUCUUCAAAAUGUGGAGCUCUGCGUCUUGUAACGUGCCGUGAGCAACACUCUAUGCCUCCGCCGUUUCUUCUGAUGGGCUGCUUUCGAUGUUAAAUCAUCUCCUUCCUCUCUUGGAAACAACAGAGAGGCUUCAUGCGGAAGAUUCACAAGGUCUUGCACAUGCCUUCUUGGGAACAGAGGCCAAGAAAGGAGAAGCUGUGCAUAAAACCCGAAGCCCCAGCUAAGUCCGAUCCACAACUUUACCUUUCUCUCUACACAAUUAAAAAAAAACAGCCUGAUAAACCAAUUGUUGGAGCUAUUAACUAAGUGAUGUGGAACUAGGCAUCUCAAAUCUUGGGAUGUCCUGGUGUGAAGUACCUGAAGCCACCUGCUCAACUUUAUAGUGGGCAAUCUGAGAGCCACAGAUAAUCCCACGUUCCCUGGGACCCUUAUAAAUACACGUUUUGCACCGAAACAGUCUUCAGUACAAAAGUCAUUUGGGUUCUGGGAAGAUGCCUGUCUAUCAAAAAGAGAAAUUAUCUCACAAGGACUCAUUUCUACUUAACAAAAGGCUAGUAGCCUCCAAAAGCCGGGGUAGCUACCCCCCGGCUUUAUGAGAUUUGAAAAAUUAAUUUUAUACUCUGCAUGGAUCACAUCAAAUACGGUCGACAAGUUCAAUAAGGAAUGACAUUAAUAUUCAUCCUUCAGCGUAGUGAGCCACACAGAGUUUUCCAAACGGAAAAGAAAGAAAAAAACGGAAAGGGAAAUGAAUAUUCCAACUUAUAUUUAAAAGGCUGUCAUAACGCCACUCUUAUCUGGAGGAAGAUGAAUCCAUCAAAGCUAUGACUGUUUUCAAAUGGCCACUUAACAUCCAUCCCAGAACGUGCUCCAUGCUAAACAAGUAUUUAUAUAUCAGCAUAUAUAUCGUCAACCGUUAAGCUGGAUAUAUUGUGCCGUUCCCAAUGUGUAUUUUAUUUCAUCAAAUAGUGAAAGAAAAAAUAAUAAUAUAAAAAAACCCCACUACUGUGUUUGUUGUGCAACUAACUAUAAAUUCGGGAACUAAUUUAGCUUCUUUCAACGCCUGCAGGGAAGAUGGUCCAAAUGAAGUCUAUUCACAAUUUGGUUCAAGUAACCCCAGAAUCAUUUAGCUGAUGGUUUUAGAAACUUGGGGGCCGCUACUAAGAGAUUGAUUUAGCAGCAAUCCCUAGUUCAGCGAUGACCAGAAAUCAUCAUAGCAAAAAUUGCCCAUGAAAUAAUUUUCUUAUCUUAAAUUCCAAAAACAUGGCUCACUUAAUGAGGCUGUCACAGACUUAUUUCUUCAUGAAAUAACUUAUGACUUUUAUUUAUCGUUUAAUAAGACAAUAAUAUCUUAAGGGAAAAGCAAGGUUCUUGGAUGCACUUUUCUUUUUUUCCUAAAAUAAAACUUAUGCCCCCGCUCUGCAGAAAUGGACUCUCACUGGAUUUUUUUUUUAAUUGGUUAUUUUUAAAUCGACUGUUGUUAGUUUAACACAUUAGAGUGAAAUUUGCCUGAUCCACCUCCACACAGAAUGUAGGAGAAUUAUUUCACUUUAAAAACGGACCUGGUAGCCGAGUAGGGUAGCGCAUGCCUAGAAUCCCAGCCACUCGGGGUGGGGAGGCUGAGGCAGGAGGAUCACAAGUUUGAGGCCAGACUCAGCCACUCAGUGAGACCCCCCCCCCAUUUCAAAAUAAAAUCCAAAGGGCUGGAGAUGUAGCUCAGAGGGAAAUUGCCCCUGAAAACAACAGGAAAGAGGCAGGAGGAGGGCACAGGAAACACAGGAGCAAGCGAAGGAAAAUCUGGAAGAGACAGAAAGAGAGAGGAAAUGAGGGAGAAAGGGAAGAAGAGAUAGAGGAUGAAAGAAAAUGUCCCAGCAAUGUUUCACGGGAGUGACAACAUCACACUUCUCCCAGUUCCCAGGUGAAUCCCCAGUACAUCCUAGGAGUGAGGGGUUCGAGGGAGUUGUCAUGAGUUACACUUUGCUAACUUACAAAGCAUCUCGGAAAUCACACUUCAUUUUACAGAGGUGUCCUGAGGCCCAGAGAGGUGAUGCAGCUUGCUGGAGGCUGCACAGCCACUUAAAGGAGACUAACUCAAGCUUUUGCCGUCACGGGGGGUGUGCCGUGUGCACUUUAACAGUAAGUACAGA
Long non-coding RNA from Ictidomys tridecemlineatus (thirteen-lined ground squirrel), 3040 nucleotides. Lineage: Eukaryota; Metazoa; Chordata; Mammalia; Rodentia; Sciuridae. The record is from Ensembl.